UCCGGUGGUUCUGAAUGGAAGGGCCAUCGCUCAACGGAUAAAAGGUACUCCGGGGAUAACAGGCUGAUACCGCCCAAGAGUUCAUAUCGACGGCGGUGUUUGGCACCUCGAUGUCGGCUCAUCACAUCCUGGGGCUGAAGUAGGUCCCAAGGGUAUGGCUGUUCGCCAUUUAAAGUGGUACGCGAGCUGGGUUUAGAACGUCGUGAGACAGUUCGGUCCCUAUCUGCCGUGGGCGCUGGAGAACUGAGGGGGGCUGCUCCUAGUACGAGAGGACCGGAGUGGACGCAUCACUGGUGUUCGGGUUGUCAUGCCAAUGGCACUGCCCGGUAGCUAAAUGCGGAAGAGAUAAGUGCUGAAAGCAUCUAAGCACGAAACUUGCCCCGAGAUGAGUUCUCCCUGAGACUUAGAGUCUCCUGAAGGAACGUUGAAGACGACGACGUUGAUAGGCCGGGUGUGUAAGCGCAGCGAUGCGUUGAGCUAACCGGUACUAAUGAACCGUGAGG
RNAcentral lists this ribosomal RNA (503 nucleotides) under Salmonella enterica subsp. enterica serovar Newport. RNAcentral's name for it is "partial 23S ribosomal RNA". It matches the Rfam family "Bacterial large subunit ribosomal RNA", at positions 2419 to 2916 of the family's 2925-position model. Lineage: Bacteria; Pseudomonadati; Pseudomonadota; Gammaproteobacteria; Enterobacterales; Enterobacteriaceae. The record is from RNAcentral.